Molecule: long non-coding RNA, 1985 nt
Filed under: Nicotiana tabacum (common tobacco)
Lineage: Eukaryota; Viridiplantae; Streptophyta; Magnoliopsida; Solanales; Solanaceae
Description: long non-coding RNA (NTAB_LNC013802)
Source: RNAcentral
AAAAUGAACCUCUGUCUACAAAGCCUCUAAGAUUAUUUGACAUCAAAUGGGACAGAGUAGCGGCCUACCCAUAAGCCUAUAGCAAAACUCUGACAUGAUGAUUCAUAGACUCGGCUACACUCCGAAUGAGGUGGAGUCUUCUCACGCCCCGAACCUGGGGGGCGAGACUGGCACCUAGUGUCUCACCUAUCCUUGCAUACCAACUUGCAACUAAGGGACUCUGAACAUAUGAUGUCAUACUUUGGCCAUGGGUCACAUUGCAAGAUAACUGUGAAUGCUAACUAAAUGUCAAUAUAAAACUAGGCCGACAAGGCAGUCAUAACCAUUAUAGCUGACAAACCAACCAAAUAUACAUACAAGGCCUGCAAGCCCAACAUAUUGCACUAACUGACGGGAUAUGUCUACAAGCCUCUACUGAUGGAUAUACUAUGAUUGGAACAGCUCCCCGUCCUACUCAUAACACACACACACAUAUAUAUAUACACACAAGAUGUACAUAAGGCUCUAGACCCGGAAACUUCGAAAGGCAUGGAGCUUACUGAUCAAGCUGAACUUGGGCAACACUUAUUGAAGAGGCCUACCCGUCUGUCUGUCUGACCCUGCAUGCAUGAAAUGCAGUGCCUCCAAAAAAGGGACGUCAGUACGAAAUAUUGUACUAAGUAUGUAAGGCAAUAUACUGAAAGCUGAAACUGAACUGAUAAUAUAACAACUGCAAGUAGCUGGAAGUCAAAGAUAAUAUGAAGAUAUGGCUUACAUGGCUGGGAUACUGACUCACCUCUCUCAAUAUAGUAAGUAAAAUAGUUGUCCGGCUCUAUAAGGCUCGGUGUAUAUAUAUAAUUGCUCUGCCGUAGUAGGCUCGCUCAUAGGCGCUCGGCCAUACUAUGCUUUGUAUCUUGACCAACUGGGCUCGCUCAUAAGUGCUCGGCCACAGUAGGAUCGGUAUAUAACUUACCAUCUGAUCAGAGGUUGCCCAAUAGGGGCUUGCCCAUAGAUUAUAGCUCGAUGGUAAUAAAAAUACUUUAAUACUGUAUAUAUAAACUCUCCGCUCUCUUGACUUGAAAAAGGAAAUACUUAAUUGAAUAUGAAGUCCCGAUAAGAAGAAUAUUGUAACUAACAAAACUAGAAAAAUAUACGUAAUUUGCGAGACUAGCAAAAUAUACGUAAAUUACGGGAUAUAAAUUUUUUUCUCUAUGCCUUGUUAUCAAACUUGUAUAAUUACGAUAUCAUGCUAAAAUGAAGGAAAAGCUUAGCCUUAACCCACAUCAAAUCAUAUACAACAAAAAUGCAAGAAUUUUUACCUACAUUUGGACCUAUCUUCAGGGUUUAGGCGCCUCUCAAGCAAGCUUAAGACACCACUGCUUAGUAAGGCUUUUGUACAUGAAGAUGGAUAAAAUUGACUUAAAAUAUUUAACGUCACUAAUCAAGCCCCUCCAACAAGAACAUGUGUUUGAAGUUAAAAAUAUUAUGCAUUAUAUUGGGAGUGACAAAGAGAAAAAAAAAAGUUGUAAUUCUACUCCUGAAUUGUCUUCUGUAUUCUCUAAUUGUACGUGAAGCUGCCUUUUGAGUUUUGAUACUUCACUAAUAAACUUACAAUCUGUAUAUAUCAAACAAAUAGAUUAUAAAAUUAGAACCUAGAGAUAUAUCUAUUAAAGGAAUAGAAAGAUGGAACUCUAUUUGGAGUCAUCAGACUAAACCACAAGUACUUGAUAACUGCUUUGGUUGUUAUAUGUGCCAACAGACAAUUGAACAUAAAGAGCAAUACCUGACUUGAAAAUUAGAUACUGCAUCCCCCUGCUUUAAAGGAUUUGUACUUGUAAGGUUCAGAGGCAUCUUAAUGCCUUCGAUCCUCGCAAAAGAUCAACUUUUUAAGUUAAAAUAGCUAAACUAUCAAAAUGGUUAAUGUAUGGCAUUCUUCAUGUAUUUUGGUUUCUGAAACAACCCCUUGAAUCACCAACUCUAGAAAUGAUCCUUCUCCAAGAAAUGAG